AGAGUUUGAUCCUGGCUCAGAACGAACGCUGGCGGCAGGCUUAACACAUGCAAGUCGAACGAUGUAGCAAUACAUAGUGGCGCACGGGUGAGUAACGCGUGGGAAUAUACCUUAUAGUGGGGAAUAACUUUGGGAAACUAAAGCUAAUACCGCAUACGCCCGAGAGGGGAAAGAUUUAUCGCUAUAAGAUUAGCCCGCGUGAGAUUAGGUAGUUGGUGGGGUAAUGGCCUACCAAGCCUACGAUCUCUAGCUGGUCUGAGAGGAUGAUCAGCCACACUGGAACUGAGACACGGUCCAGACUCCUACGGGAGGCAGCAGUGGGGAAUAUUGGGCAAUGGACGAAAGUCUGACCCAGCCAUGCCGCGUGAAUGAUGAAGGCCUUAGGGUUGUAAAGUUCUUUCGCCGAUGAAGAUAAUGACGGUAGUCGGAGAAGAAGCCCCGGCUAACUUCGUGCCAGCAGCCGCGGUAAUACGAAGGGGGCUAGCGUUGUUCGGAAUUACUGGGCGUAAAGCGAGCGUAGGUUGCUCGAUAAGUCAGUGGUGAAAGCCCAGAGCUCAACUCUGGAACUGCCAUUGAAACUGUCGAGCUGGAAUCUCAGAGGGGGUAGCGGAAUUCCAAAUGUAGGGGUGAAAUCCGUAGAUAUUUGGAGGAACACCGGUGGCGAAGGCGGCUACCUGGAUGAGUAUUGACACUGAGGCUCGAAAGCGUGGGGAUCAAACAGGAUUAGAUACCCUGGUAGUCC
This 742-nucleotide ribosomal RNA is filed under the name uncultured bacterium. RNAcentral's name for it is "bacterial SSU rRNA". It matches the Rfam family "Bacterial small subunit ribosomal RNA", at positions 8 to 796 of the family's 1533-position model. The record is from RNAcentral.